UCUCUUACACACACUCUCUCUCUCUCUCUCUCUCUCUCUCUCUCUAUAUAUAUAUAUAUAUAUAUAUAUAUAUAUAGAGAGAGAGAGAGAGAGAGAGAGAGAGAGAGUAAAUGAAACAG
RNAcentral lists this microRNA precursor (119 nucleotides) under Marmota monax (woodchuck). The record is from RNAcentral. Lineage: Eukaryota; Metazoa; Chordata; Mammalia; Rodentia; Sciuridae.